Molecule: ribosomal RNA, 486 nt
Filed under: uncultured bacterium
Lineage: Bacteria
Description: bacterial SSU rRNA
Rfam family: Bacterial small subunit ribosomal RNA
Source: RNAcentral
CUCAGAAUAAACGCUGGCGGCGUGCCUAACACAUGCAAGCCGAGCGAGAAAGUUCCUUCGGGAGCAAGUAAAGCGGCGGACGGGUGAGUAACGCGUGAGAAUUUACCCUUUAGUGAGGAAUACCUCUGAGAAAUCAGGGCUAAUACUGCAUAAGUCCCUACGGGGAGAAAGGUGGCCUAUUUGCUGCCGCUAAAGGAUAAGCUUGCGGGCUAUUAGCUAGUUGGUGAGGUAAAGGCUCACCAAGGCGAUGAUGGCUAGCCGGCCUGAGAGGGUGUACGGCCACACUGGAACUUAGACACGGUCCAGACUCCUACGGGAGGCAGCAGUGAGGAAUAUUGCGCAAUGGGCGAAAGCCUGACGCAGCGACGCCGCGUGGAGGAUGAAGGUCUUCGGAUUGUAAACUUCUGUUAAGUGGGAAGGAAGAUUUAUCCCUAAUAUGGAUAAAGGAUGACGGUACCAUUAGAGAAAGCACCGGCUAACUUCGUG